RNAcentral lists this ribosomal RNA (560 nucleotides) under uncultured bacterium. RNAcentral describes it as "bacterial SSU rRNA". It matches the Rfam family "Bacterial small subunit ribosomal RNA", at positions 119 to 675 of the family's 1533-position model. The record is from RNAcentral.
CGGAACGUGCCCAGUAGUGGGGGAUAACCCUUCGAAAGAUGUGCUAUUACCGCAUACGCACUACGGUGGAAAGCGGGGGAUCGUAAGACCUCGCGCUAUUGGAGCGGCCGAUGUCCGAUUAGCUAGUUGGUGGGGUAAUGGCCUACCAAGGCAACGAUCGGUAGCUGGUCUGAGAGGAUGAUCAGCCACACUGGGACUGAGACACGGCCCAGACUCCUACGGGAGGCAGCAGUGGGGAAUUUUGGACAAUGGGCGCAAGCCUGAUCCAGCCAUGCCGCGUGAGUGAAGAAGGCCUUCGGGUUGUAAAGCUCUUUCGGCCGGAACGAAAUCGUCCGGGCUAAUACCCCGGAUGGAUGACGGUACCGGAAGAAGAAGCACCGGCUAACUACGUGCCAGCAGCCGCGGUAAUACGUAGGGUGCAGGCGUUAAUCGGAAUUACUGGGCGUAAAGCGUGCGCAGGCGGCUUCUCAAGUCAGAUGUGAAAUCCCCGGGCUUAACCUGGGAACUGCGUUUGAAACUGGGGAGCUAGAGUGUGGCUAAGGGGGGUGGAAUUCCACGUG